AAAGAACCAACAAAAAUAAUUUAUCCUUUUGGAUCAUAUAACAACACAAACUGUAGUAGUACAUCAUAUUUCAUAUACAAGGUAAAACACAUAUAUGAUGACGUUAAAUCUUAAAGGAAAAAAAAAAGGGUUACAACAAGGGUAUACCAAAGAUAAUUUAAAAGAUGCUAGGUCCUCGAUCUAUUUCUAAAAUAUGCCAAGACAAACUAAACUAGCAGAGUUCCAGCAGGACCUACUGUUUAUAUAAAAACUUAACAAGACCAUUAAUUUAUAAAAUAAAAGAGAAAACAAAAUAAAAGUGUGGUUUGCUUAACCAGCAAAAACAUUGGUAUAAGCCACAGGUAUAUGUAGGAUGAGAUGUUGUAAUAGUGGUCUUAGGAGACAUCGUCGUUGUUGCCCUCAGAAUUGUAGGCACUUGGUGGUGGGGUAGAAGUAGAGGAAGAAGAUGGUGAGGUGCCACCGUUUCCAAUCAUGUUUCGAAGCGAUUCCCCCACCCUAGACACCGUGGAAACCACAGAGCUCGCUAAGCCGUUAAAUAUUUCGGCUUUGAUUUGCCCUCUUUUUGGGGGGAAACUUGAUCUCUUCUUUUCAGGUGUACUUGCCAUUUUAAUUAUUUCUUAUAGAUCUCACCAAACAAUAUCGGGUGUAAAAUAAUUUUUAAGAGGAAUAUGUGAUACAAAUUUGAAGAUGUAGAAAAUAAGGAAGAUGGAAGGAAAGAGGGUGG
This 724-nucleotide long non-coding RNA is filed under the name Arachis ipaensis. Its description in RNAcentral is "long non-coding RNA (AIPA_LNC002176)". The record is from RNAcentral. Lineage: Eukaryota; Viridiplantae; Streptophyta; Magnoliopsida; Fabales; Fabaceae.